GUCUACGGCCAUACCACCCUGAACGCGCCCGAUCUCGUCUGAUCUCGGAAGCUAAGCAGGGUCGGGCCUGGUUAGUCCUUGGAUGGGAGAAGAAUGAGGAAAAGACCAGUUCCGCAAGGU
RNAcentral lists this ribosomal RNA (120 nucleotides) under Oryctolagus cuniculus (rabbit). The record is from RNAcentral. Lineage: Eukaryota; Metazoa; Chordata; Mammalia; Lagomorpha; Leporidae.